GCAUAUCAAUAAGCGGAGGAAAAGAAACCAACAGGGAUUGCCCUAGUAACGGCGAAGUGAAGCGGCAACAGCUCAAAUUUGAAAUCUGGCUUCGGCCCGAGUUGUAAUUUGCAGAGGAUGUUUAUGGUGCGGUACCUACCGAGUUCCCUGGAACGGGACGCCACAGAGGGUGAGAGCCCCGUCUGGUAGGAUACCAAACCUGUGUUAAACUCCUUCAACGAGUCGAGUAGUUUGGGAAUGCUGCUCUAAAUGGGAGGUAAAUCUCUUCUAAAGCUAAAUAUUGGCCAGAGACCGAUAGCGCACAAGUAGAGUGAUCGAAAGAUGAAAAGCACCUUGAAAAGGGGGUUAAACAGUACGUGAAAUUGUUGAAAGGGAAGCGUUUAUGACCAGACUUGUGCCGUGUGGCUCAUCCGAGGUUCUCCCCGGUGCACUCCACACGGCUCAGGCCAACAUCGGUUCUCGUUGGGGGAUAAGAACAGUAGGAACGUGGCCCUCUUCGGAGGGUGUUAUAGCCUAUUGUACGAUACUCUGACGGGGACCGAGGACCGCGCUUCGGCUAGGAUGUUGGCGUAAUGGUCAUUAGCGACCCGUCUUGAAACACGGACCAAGGAGUCGUCCAUUAGAGCGAGCGUUUGGGUGUAAAACCCGCACGCGUAAUGAAAGUAAAAUAGGUGAGAGCUUCGGCGCAUCAUCGACCGAUCCUGAAGUUUACGGAUGGAUUUGAGUAAGAGUUUUAACGGACGGACCCGAAAGACAGUGAACUAUGCUUGAAUAGGGUGAAGCCAGAGGAAACUCUGGUGGAGGCUCGCAGCGGUUCUGACGUGCAAAUCGAUCGUCAAAUUUGAGCAUGGGGGGCGAAAGACUAAUCGAACUGUCUAGUAGCUGGUUACCGCG
This 894-nucleotide ribosomal RNA is filed under the name Pleuroceras pleurostylum. RNAcentral describes it as "LSU rRNA". It matches the Rfam family "Eukaryotic large subunit ribosomal RNA", at positions 38 to 962 of the family's 3401-position model. The record is from RNAcentral. Lineage: Eukaryota; Fungi; Ascomycota; Sordariomycetes; Diaporthales; Gnomoniaceae.